Long non-coding RNA from Saccostrea cuccullata (small rock oyster), 463 nucleotides. RefSeq lists it as uncharacterized. Lineage: Eukaryota; Metazoa; Mollusca; Bivalvia; Ostreida; Ostreidae. The record is from RefSeq and is a predicted model, not a curated record. The transcript is spliced from 3 exons.
UAUGACAAUCAGGGCUUAAAUUUUUAAUGUCUUUUAAUUUUUCAGUGACAUUAAAACAGGAAUUGUCAUCACCAAUAGACGAAUUUCACAUUCCUAAGUUUUCUCCAAUUGUCGGCGUAUCACUCAUUUUUCCCACUUUGUCCUUUGUCCUGUUCUGUAGAUGCCCUAAGACAGUGUCUACCCAUCACUCCAUCUGAUAUCACUUGUUCUGUGCAUAUUUCUCUCUCAAACUUAAACUACAGAGAGCCUGUGGAUAGAGGAUGAAGAGUGACCUUGGACUAAUUUUCUAGGUCACAGAUCAUAGGUGAUGUGAAGAAAACCAGGAAACUGAUGUUGAAAGAAGUACUUAAUGACCCUUAUGAAUGGACUUAAAUGUGAAAGACUGUUCCAUUGUUUAUCUAAGAUAUAUGAAUUUAUUUAAUAUUUUGAUAUCAUUGAAAAAUUCAGUUACAGUUUUUGUACA